AUUCUCGUCAUCGUGACGUCCGAGUAUCAUACAGUAAGCAGUCAAAACUUUCAACAACGGAUCUCUUGGUUCUGGCAUCGAUGAAGAACGCAGCGAAAUGCGAUAAGUAAUGUGAAUUGCAGAAUUCAGUGAAUCAUCGAAUCUUUGAACGCACAUUGCGCCCUCUGGUAUUCCGGGGGGCAUGCCUGUCCGAGCGUCAUUACAUCCAUCAAGCUCUGCUUGGUAGUGGGCUGCGCCUCUCAGCGUGCCCGAAACACAGUGGCGGUGCCAUGAGACUCCGGGCGUAGUAAGAUCCUGCAUCCCGCCGCGGAAGCUUCUCGUCUGGCCCGGCCAGCGACAAACAUCUGAUGUCAGACUUCACGAUCGACCUCGGAUCAGGUAGGGAUACCCGCUGAACUUAAGCAUAUCAAUAAGCGGAGGAAAAGAAACCAACAGGGAUUGCCUCAGUAACGGCGAGUGAAGCGGCAACAGCUCAAAUUUGGAAUCUGGCCUCUUCGGGGUCCGAGUUGUAAUUUGCAGAGGGUGCUUCGGGUGAGGCGCCGGCCCAAGUUCCUUGGAACAGGACGUCGUAGAGGGUGAGAAUCCCGUAUCUGGCCGGCGACCGACUCCACGUGAAGCCCCUUCGACGAGUCGAGUUGUUUGGGAAUGCAGCUCUAAAAGGGUGGUAAAUUUCAUNUAAAGCUAAAUACCGGCCAGAGACCGAUAGCGCACAAGUAGAGUGAUCGAAAGAUGAAAAGCACUUUGGAAAGAGAGUUAAAAAGUACGUGAAAUUGUUGAAAGGGAAGCGCUUGCAACCAGACCUGUGUUCGGGUGAUCAACC
RNAcentral lists this ribosomal RNA (820 nucleotides) under Dermatiscum fallax. RNAcentral's name for it is "eukaryotic LSU rRNA". The stretch from base 365 to 820 matches the Rfam family "Eukaryotic large subunit ribosomal RNA", at positions 1 to 454 of the family's 3401-position model. The record is from RNAcentral. Lineage: Eukaryota; Fungi; Ascomycota; Lecanoromycetes; Caliciales; Physciaceae.